Molecule: ribosomal RNA, 476 nt
Filed under: uncultured bacterium
Lineage: Bacteria
Description: bacterial SSU rRNA
Rfam family: Bacterial small subunit ribosomal RNA
Source: RNAcentral
UUAUGGCUCAGAACGAACGCUGGCGGCAUGGAUUAGGCAUGCAAGUCGAACGAGGUAGCAAUACCGAGUGGCGGAAGGGUGAGGAACGCGUGAGCAAUCUGCCCUCCAGUUGGGAAUAACAGUUGGAAACGACUGCUAAUACCGAAUGUGGCUCGUUGGUCGCAUGACUGACGGGCUAAAGAUUUAUCGCUGGAGGAUGAGCUCGCGUCCCAUUAGCUAGUUGGUGAGGUAACGGCCCACCAAGGCGACGAUGGGUAGCUGGUCUGAGAGGAUGGUCAGCCACACUGGGACUGAGACACUGCCCAGACUCCUACGGGAGGCUGCAGUCGAGAAUCUUGGGCAAUGCGCGAAAGCGUGACCCAGCCAAUGCCGCGUGCGGGAUGAAGGUCUUCGGAUUGUAAACCGCUGUCAACCGGGACGAACACAAUGACUGUACCGGUGAAGGAAGCCACGGCUAACUACGUGCCAGCAGCAGC